This is an RNA transcript of Dalotia coriaria, 3055 nucleotides long. It is a transcript of the gene named xaa-Pro dipeptidase-like, with no coding region annotated. NCBI's taxonomy places the organism in Eukaryota, Metazoa, Arthropoda, Insecta, Coleoptera, Staphylinidae. The record is from RefSeq and is a predicted model, not a curated record. The transcript has 5 exons.
AAUAUUAUGGACUUGUGCGAACCAUUUUUGACUUCUGGCACAACUCGUUGGCUCAAUGUGUUACCUGGUACCAAUACUAAUUCAAAUAAUUAUGGAGAACAAGACGAAAUUUAUGUAUCUACUCACAUUUGAUUUGCGGUGUUCGAUACACUGGUAAAAUUUUUAUCAUUCAUAGUAUCUGUUUUCCUUAUUUGCAAUUAGAAAAUUGAUAUCUUUUGCGGAAAUCUUUGCUUUAAUAAAUGCUUCAAUAAAACUCAAAUCAUAAAUUAUUAUUUCAUGAUUUAAAUUUUAGUUCCCUAGCAUGAACUAAAAAUUAUCAAAUAGAAUUGUAUUAGUUUUGAAGAUAGUUCUAUUAUCAGCGUUUGUGUAUAAGCAAUUUUUAUAUCGCAUUUGCCGUGCGAGAUACUACGCGUAAUAUUUUCGUCUAUCAUCGCGCUAUCACACAAUUUUGUUCAAUUUUUAUUGCAGGUACCGCGUCUAUUGCAAUUCGCGCACAAGGUUGCAUGCCAUCGACGCGCUGCCCGCUUUGCGCAUCUAUUGCAAUUCGCGCACAAGAUCGUGUGCCAUCGACACGCAGGCUUUACGCCACACUUUACACUAUGAAAUUAAUACUUUGCACUUAUAAAACUUGCAGUAUUAAGUACGUGCCGUACUCUUAAUCGGCCCCUUCUAUCACCCCGAGACGAUACCGAGACGAGACGUGUUUUAUCAAUUUCUCGCCGAUAGCGAGACCACAGUCCGAGUCUCGUUUUUGGUCUCGUUAUUGGUCUCGUGAAAUUUUUUUUUAUGAAGAUGAUAUUAGUAAAAUGAGAAAAGGGCCAAUAUAUGAAAUCCAAUAUAUGACCAUCUGUGAAAUAUUUCUUUUAUAUAUUCAAAAGAACAAGUCAGUAACCGAAUAUCAUGACCUUUUUGCCUUUUUGAAAGUUUUAUGAAAAUUUUGUCUUUGUUUAUACAUCCGGGGACAUAUUUUUGUGUUUUUCUGUACUUCUUGAAGCAAAUAUAUGAACAGCAAAAGUAUUGUAUUCCCUGGGCAAGGGUAUAUAAUAAAUCUUGUCAAAUAAAAUUUAUGCUAUAGUCCGGUACGAAAAAGUGUUCAUGUUGACAAUAUUUUGUAGACAACUUAAUAAUAUUGUGAUAAUUAAUAUUUUAACCUAUGUAUGUAUUUUUGGAGUAAUUAAAUGACUAAACUUUUGAACUGCAAAGAUCUUCAAUGUUUUCUUUACACUUAAAACCAUUAAAUGUGAAAAAAAAAUAUAAGAACAAAGGCUUCACGGGUAUCGCGAGACUUUUCUCGUAUUGUCUCGGUCUCGUAUCGCUUUUACGAGACAAUACCGAGAUCGAGACGGUACUGUUGAUAGUCUCGUCCACUCUCGUCUCGUGUGAAGCCCUAAUUGAGAAUUUUCCAAUCUUUCAUAAUCAGCAAUUCGUUGAUUGCUAUCGCUUUUAGUUUAAAAGAUAUUAAUUAUCGAAAAUUGUCGAUAAAAAUCAUCAAGCACCCUCCCUUGGCAAUUUUUUCUUAAGAAUUAAAAUUUUAUCUCUCAGAUUUCCGUUUUAACUGUUCUAUCUUAUAGAGAAUAGUCUGUAGAUUAAGACUCUGCGAUCAGAUCCUAUUUACCUCUUUUAAUUUACGAGAUAUUCGCGAUUGUAGAAAAUGGGCAAAAAUUGAAUAAUGUCACUUUUUAGUACUUUUAGUCACGUUUAUCGACCUUUUAUUGUAGGAAUUAUAAUUAUUUUAAAUUUUUAUCUGAUGGAAAAUUUUCCAAUUUUUCAUAAUCAGCAAUUCGUGUGUUGCUAUCGCUUUUCGUUUAAGAGAUAUUAAUUAUCGAAAAUCAUCGAUAAAAAUUAUCAAGCACCCCCCCCCCCUUGGCAAUUUUUGCUUAAGAAUUAAAAUUUCAUCUCUCCUAUUUCCGUUUUAACUAUUCUAUCUUAGAGAGAAUAGUCCGUAGAUUAAGACGCUGUGAUCAGAUCCUAUUUAUCUCUUUUAGUUUACGAGAUAUUCGCGAUUGAAGAAAAUGGGCAAAAAUUGAAUAAUGUCACUUUUUAGCACUUUUAGUCACGUUUUUCGACCUUUUAUUAUAGGAAAUAUAUUUAUUUUAUUAUCUGACUGAGAAUUUUCUAAUCUUUCAUAAUCUGCAAUUCUUUGAUUGCUAUCGCUUUUAGCUUAAGAGUUAUUAAUUAUCGCAAAUCGUCGAUAAAAAUUAUCAAGCACUCCCCCUUGGCAAAAUUCCGUAAAGCGAUUUAUAUUGAAAUUUGUGUGUGUGUGCCGUAGUACUCGUUGCGCUAAGAAUUGUAGUUUUUUAAUAUAUCACGCGAACGCGGUGUUACAAUUAGUUCGAAAUAAUUUUCCUUGAUGGGGAAUUUAAUUUAGUAUCCCCCUGGAUAGAAAUGUAUUGCGAGAAAAUUCCGUAACGCGAGUUAUUGAACAAAAGUGGCGAUAUUUUUCGUGUUUUAGUAUUCACCGUACCAUGGAGUCCGAUGAGUUCUGCAGUAACACUAACAUAAACGUUAACGCUACCCUUCUACGGUGCCCUAAAUGGGUGUAACUUCUACCGCUACCUUCGUACGGUGCCUUGAAUGGGAGUCACUUCUACCGCUAUCUUCGUACGGUGCCUUAAAUGGGAGUCUUUAUGGAUCCUUUGUUGGAUGAAGCAUUGGCUAAUCCUGAGAUGGCCAAGUUUAUCAAUAAGGACCAACUGGACAGGCUCCGUGGUACUGGUGAAGUGCGUAUUGAAGAUGAUGUUUUGAUUACUGAAGAUGGAUGUGUCAACGGGACUAGAGUUCCAAGAACUGUCCAAAAAAUUGAAGAUUGGAUUGUCCGUGUUGAUGAUGAUUCCAAAUACGAUUGAAUGAAUUUACAACAUUUUGAAGCUGUUAUUGAUAUCAUUUUUGUUUAUUUUGUUAAGUUAUAAAAAGAGCAUUAUAUAAUUGCAUACUAUUAUCCUGUUUUCUUGCUUGUAUAGUUAAAAAUGCUGUAUAUAUUGAGAAAUUGAGUUUGUGAUGGGUGUAUAUUUUACAUGUUUGAAUAAAAUUGUAGUUUUAUAUUUUAAACUAUAAA